AUGCCGUUGAAUGAGAGAAUUGACCAUGCUACUAAUGGCUAUUUGGCCAGUUACUCUCAACCGUCAUAUGCUACACAUCAUGUUAGUAAUUCUUCGGCACCAUACACAACUGUAGAUGCUCAUAAUUCGGCUUCACACCUUCCUGGUUAUAGCCGAAUGAAUGUAAAUUUUACAGGAGCGGUUGUGCCCAACAUUGUAGAAGAUGAGGUAGUGGUGGCUGCAUUGAAGAGUUUAGCCCAAAAUAAAAGAGUUAGUGCUCUUUGCCUUGAACAACAUGAAAAUGGGCUAUUUCCUGAUUAUGCCGCAAUAAAAGCUAGAGUUUUGCAAGAAGAUGAAUCUUUGCCAAUUGAUAAAAUUGGCGAGCAAAAGUAUGGUCUUACAACACUGCAUAUGCCUUCAUCUAGUACUACAUCAUAUUAUACACCCCCUAUACAAUUACAAAAUUUCGGCAACACCCGUGUGUCAUUGCCGAAAGAAUCUAAAAGCAUUGGGGGGCAAUCAUAUCGGGAGUGGGUUGAAAUUAAGAAAAAGCUUAAAGCUAAUUUUGCCGCUCGCCGUCAGAAACAAAUAGAAAAAGAAUUGGCUCAGAUAAAAGAAGCAUUGCCAAUUGAUACUAUCAAUGAAAAGAAGGAUGAUUCGGAACAUGAAAGUGCUUCGGUUGAAAAAGCCGAAUCAAGUAGUAUAUAUUCUGAAUCCAUCAAAUCCAACGAGGCAAGCAUUAUUGAGAAAGGGCAUGGCAAACAUAGGAAAACAACGGUGCUUGAUUUUUCUGGAGUUAAUGGAACCUACUUCCUGCCCUAUGAGUUCCGUGCCGUAGAAAUUGACAAGCUUCAAGGACAAGAACAAGUAGCCGAACAAAGUUCGGCCGACAAAAAUCUUCAAAGCAAUGAUGCAUGGAUUCAAGAAAAAGAUGAUGACAAGGUGUUGGGGAGCCAUCCAAAGAGGGAGCAAGAUGUUCUUCAAAUGGCACCACUAUCAUGCUCUCCCAACAUAUUUGAAGAGCUCCAAGGAGAUCAACAUUUGAACAAUCACGCGUCAAAGACCGUUUCAAUCAUAAGGAAUCGGUCCAGAGCUCAAGGAAGAAGAAAGAGGUGGUAA
This 1098-nucleotide ribosomal RNA is filed under the name Triticum aestivum (bread wheat). RNAcentral describes it as "partial small subunit ribosomal RNA". Lineage: Eukaryota; Viridiplantae; Streptophyta; Magnoliopsida; Poales; Poaceae. The record is from RNAcentral.